ACCCGAAGCCGGUGGCCCAACCCCUUGUGGGAGGGAAUCGUCGAAGGUGGGACUGGCGAUUGGGACGAAGUCGUAACAAGGUAGCCGUACCGGAAGGUGCGGCUGGAUCACCUCCUUUCUAAGGAGCA
This 128-nucleotide ribosomal RNA is filed under the name Streptomyces sp. WAC 06783. RNAcentral's name for it is "partial 16S ribosomal RNA". It matches the Rfam family "Bacterial small subunit ribosomal RNA", at positions 1419 to 1533 of the family's 1533-position model. The record is from RNAcentral. Lineage: Bacteria; Bacillati; Actinomycetota; Actinomycetes; Kitasatosporales; Streptomycetaceae.